RNAcentral lists this ribosomal RNA (564 nucleotides) under Triticum aestivum (bread wheat). RNAcentral describes it as "partial small subunit ribosomal RNA". The record is from RNAcentral. Lineage: Eukaryota; Viridiplantae; Streptophyta; Magnoliopsida; Poales; Poaceae.
AUGGAGAGAGCUAGAAAUUUCCCGUUUAAUAACCUUCCGGAUGCUGUAGGCUGGAAGUUUACUCCUAAGAAAAUCUUUACCACCAAAUCAGUAUAUGAGUGGCUGGAGAAAGACCUGGUCGGACCUAACUAUAAGUGGGUUUGGAAAGCAGAGAUUCCCCUGAAGAUUAAAAUCUUCAUCUGGCAAUUGUUUCAAAAUGAUGUCCUUACUAGAGAAAAUAUGCGUAAAAGAAACUGGCCUGGUAAUCCUUCUUAUUCGUUUUGUCAUGACGUUGAAACUGCUGGACACCUAUUUUUUGGUUGUGCUUUUGCUCGUUCGGUGUGGGGAACUUUUGGCUUGGCCUUGGGGGCAUUAAGUUGCCCCAAAUCUCUUUGGCAAAGUUGGGUGUGGCUGUAUAAAUUCCUCCCUGGUGGGAGGAAGUAUUACAUGGAAUUCAUAGUUGUUGUUUGUUGGGGGAUCUGGUGUACUCGCAACAUGAUCAAGAAACGUGUUGUUCGUACACCCCUAGAGACUGUUUUCACUGCGUGCUCUUUCAUGAUGGUCAGGUCUGAUGAAAGGAGAUGA